Molecule: ribosomal RNA, 784 nt
Filed under: Melectoides bellus
Lineage: Eukaryota; Metazoa; Arthropoda; Insecta; Hymenoptera; Apidae
Description: SSU rRNA
Rfam family: Eukaryotic small subunit ribosomal RNA
Source: RNAcentral
CGGGGAGGUAGUGACGAAAAAUAACGAUACGGGACUCAUCCGAGGCCCCGUAAUCGGAAUGAGUACACUUUAAAUCCUUUAACGAGGACCAAUUGGAGGGCAAGUCUGGUGCCAGCAGCCGCGGUAAUUCCAGCUCCAAUAGCGUAUAUUAAAGUUGUUGCGGUUAAAAAGCUCGUAGUUGAAUCUGUGUGUCACAGUGUCGGUUCACCGCUCGCGGUGUUUAACUGGCAUUAUGUGGUACGUCCUACCGGUGGGCUUAGCUCCUUGCGGGCGGUCCAACUAAUAUCCCAUCGCGGUGCUCUUCACUGAGUGUCGAGGUGGGCCGGUACGUUUACUUUGAACAAAUUAGAGUGCUCAAAGCAGGCUACCUUUGCCUGAAUAUUCUGUGCAUGGAAUAAUGGAAUAGGACCUCGGUUCUAUUUUGUUGGUUUUCGGAACCCCGAGGUAAUGAUUAAUAGGGACAGAUGGGGGCAUUCGUAUUGCGACGUUAGAGGUGAAAUUCUUGGAUCGUCGCAAGACGGACAGAAGCGAAAGCAUUUGCCAAAAAUGUUUUCAUUAAUCAAGAACGAAAGUUAGAGGUUCGAAGGCGAUCAGAUACCGCCCUAGUUCUAACCAUAAACGAUGCCAGCUAGCGAUCCGCCGAAGUUCCUCCGAUGACUCGGCGGGCAGCUUCCGGGAAACCAAAGCUUUUGGGUUCCGGGGGAAGUAUGGUUGCAAAGCUGAAACUUAAAGGAAUUGACGGAAGGGCACCACCAGGAGUGGAGCCUGCGGCUUAAUUUGACUC